AUUAUAAUGGCAGAUUAGUGCAUAGAAUUUAAGCUUCUAUUAUGAGAUUUCUCUUAUAAUA
RNAcentral lists this transfer RNA (61 nucleotides) under Tropostreptus droides. RNAcentral describes it as "tRNA-Leu". The record is from RNAcentral. Lineage: Eukaryota; Metazoa; Arthropoda; Diplopoda; Spirostreptida; Spirostreptidae.